UACGUAGGGUGCAAGCGUUGUCCGGAAUUACUGGGCGUAAAGCGCGUGUAGGCGGCUGGUCAAGCGUGGUGUGAAAUCUCCGGGCUCAACCCGGAAACUGCAUUGCGAACUGACCUAGCUGGAGUGCAGGAGAGGGCAGCGGAAUUCCCGGUGUAGCGGUGAAAUGCGUAGAUAUCGGGAAGAACACCAGUGGCGAAGGCGGCUGCCUGGCCUGUAACUGACGCUGAGACGCGAAAGCGUGGGGAGCGAACCGG
This 254-nucleotide ribosomal RNA is filed under the name uncultured bacterium. RNAcentral describes it as "partial 16S ribosomal RNA". It matches the Rfam family "Bacterial small subunit ribosomal RNA", at positions 524 to 776 of the family's 1533-position model. The record is from RNAcentral.